Molecule: long non-coding RNA, 1435 nt
Filed under: Equus asinus (donkey)
Lineage: Eukaryota; Metazoa; Chordata; Mammalia; Perissodactyla; Equidae
Description: lncRNA (ENSEASG00005038734.1)
Source: RNAcentral
GACUUUAACUCAAUCAGACCACACUUGGAGUCUUGUGCGCUUUCUGGGCACCACCUUUUAAAAGGAACAUUGACCUGUUCCGCCUCCAGAGAACAGAACCAAGACAACUGGGUGGAAGUUGCUCAGAGAUAAAUCCCGACUCAACAGAAGCAAACCGUGUCUCCUGCCAUCAGAGCCUCUGACAAUGGAAGUGGCUGCUUUGGAAACGGUUUGCUCCCAGGCAUUGAAACGCUGAAGCAGGGGGUGUUUUAACAGCUGUCAAAGAGAUUUUUAUUUUUUUACUAAGAUCCCUUUACUUUAAAUUCCAACACUGUAUGAUUGCUUGAUCACAGAACUCUUCAAUACGUUUUGCCAAGUUGAUAGCUCCUUCUUAGUUCUUUUGUUUGGAGCAUUAACCUCUUCUCGUCCCACACCAAAAAAAAAUUGGCAAAAACAUAUAGAAUGACAAUAACAGUCACAACAUUGAAGUCUUGUUGUUGUCUGACUGUGCCACGUUCCCUCCACUGGGGAAGAAGGACACGCUGUGGCCUGUUGAUUAUCAAAGUAGAGGUCUGGAGGCCACUCAAGGGUGAUGGUGACAGCACAGCACUGACACCUCCAAAUGGUCCUUGGGCAGGUCCAAGCACAAGAACAAGGGCAGCUGAGGCCAAGUGAGGCCAUACGUCCUCUUCUAGUGUCCCCAACUUGCUUAAUGGUGCCUCUUUCCAUAUAGAGACAUGAUGCCUUCCUCUCCAUACCCCAUCCCACACCACCAUCCUGCCCAAUUUCCAUCCAUCUUCACUGUCUCUGUGCAAAUCCAAGCCCCACCGCCAUCUGUCAUCUGAACCUGCACCCCCGCCAUGUGGGCUUGCUCCAAUUUAUUUUACACAAAUCGGAACCUUCCUGUCAUCCCGCUGCUUAUGUUUCUCAGUGGCUUCCCACUGCUAUUGGGAUGAAGAAUCUGGGCCUCAGCCCCACCUGUGUGGCACCGUGAGCUUCCCCAUUUCUGUCUCACUUUGUGCCCGGACCCCAGCCCUUGCUCUCUGUUCCAGUCACACUGACCUUCCUUCCACCCACCUGUCCUGCCACUACAGGGCUUUUGCCCCUGCUCUUCUCUUGGCCUCGGGGGAUGCUCUUCUCACCCCUCUUGGCCUAGUAAAAGCUUCCCCUGAUCUUUCUGCCCAGAUUGUGUCCCUGGGGCCCACGGUCACAGCACCCACACCUUUCCUUCCCAUUUGCAGCUUCUCCCUUUGCAGUUGUCUCUCUGUUUCCGUGAUGAUUUAGUCUCUUCAAGGGCAGGAGCCAUGUCUGGUGUGCUCGGCGUGGCAUCCCCUGAAUGAAUGAAUGAGGAGAAGAAGCUGUGUGAGGGGCUCUGUACUCCCAGUGGCUUCCAGUGGUCUAAGAGCCAUCUAGACACAGGGGGUGGUCAUCCAUAGGGUGCUCUCCUAAAUCCCUG